GACGAACGCUGGCGGCGUGCUUAACACAUGCAAGUCGAACGGAAAGGCCUCUUUCGGGGGGUACUCGAGUGGCGAACGGGUGAGUAACACGUGAGUAACCUGCCCUUGACUUUGGGAUAACUUCAGGAAACUGGGGCUAAUACCGGAUAGGAGCUCCUGCUGCAUGGUGGGGGUUGGAAAGUUUCGGCGGUUGGGGAUGGACUCGCGGCUUAUCAGCUUGUUGGUGGGGUAGUGGCUUACCAAGGCUUUGACGGGUAGCCGGCCUGAGAGGGUGACCGGCCACAUUGGGACUGAGAUACGGCCCAGACUCCUACGGGAGGAAGCAGUGGGGAAUAUUGCACAAUGGGUGGAAGCCGGAUGCAGCAACGCCGUGUGCGGGAUGACGGCCUUCGGGUUGUAAACCGCUUUCGCUCAUGACGAAGCUUUGUGUGACGGUAGUGGGUAAAGAAGCACCGGCUAACUACGUG
This 467-nucleotide ribosomal RNA is filed under the name uncultured bacterium. Its description in RNAcentral is "partial 16S ribosomal RNA". It matches the Rfam family "Bacterial small subunit ribosomal RNA", at positions 28 to 507 of the family's 1533-position model. The record is from RNAcentral.